This 1475-nucleotide ribosomal RNA is filed under the name uncultured bacterium. RNAcentral describes it as "partial 16S ribosomal RNA". It matches the Rfam family "Bacterial small subunit ribosomal RNA". The record is from RNAcentral.
UAGAGUUUGAUCCUGGCUCAGAUUGAACGCUGGCGGCAGGCCUAACACAUGCAAGUCGAACGGUAACAUUUCUAGCUUGCUAGAAGAUGACGAGUGGCGGACGGGUGAGUAAUGCUUGGGAACUUGCCUUUGCGAGGGGGAUAACAGUUGGAAACGACUGCUAAUACCGCAUAAUGUCUUCGGACCAAACGGGGCUUCGGCUCCGGCGCAAAGAGAGGCCCAAGUGAGAUUAGCUAGUUGGUAAGGUAACGGCUUACCAAGGCGACGAUCUCUAGCUGUUCUGAGAGGAAGAUCAGCCACACUGGGACUGAGACACGGCCCAGACUCCUACGGGAGGCAGCAGUGGGGAAUAUUGCACAAUGGGGGAAACCCUGAUGCAGCCAUGCCGCGUGUGUGAAGAAGGCCUUCGGGUUGUAAAGCACUUUCAGUUGUGAGGAAAAGUUAGUAGUUAAUACCUGCUAGCCGUGACGUUAACAACAGAAGAAGCACCGGCUAACUCCGUGCCAGCAGCCGCGGUAAUACGGAGGGUGCGAGCGUUAAUCGGAAUUACUGGGCGUAAAGCGCACGCAGGCGGUUUGUUAAGCUAGAUGUGAAAGCCCCGGGCUCAACCCGGGAUGGUCAUUUAGAACUGGCAGACUAGAGUCUUGGAGAGGGGAGUGGAAUUCCAGGUGUAGCGGUGAAAUGCGUAGAUAUCUGGAGGAACAUCAGUGGCGAAGGCGACUCCCUGGCCAAAGACUGACGCUCAUGUGCGAAAGUGUGGGUAGCGAACAGGAUUAGAUACCCUGGUAGUCCACACCGUAAACGCUGUCUACUAGCUGUGUGUGCCUUUAAGGCGUGCGUAGCGAAGCUAACGCGCUAAGUAGACCGCCUGGGGAGUACGGCCGCAAGGUUAAAACUCAAAUGAAUUGACGGGGGCCCGCACAAGCGGUGGAGCAUGUGGUUUAAUUCGAUGCAACGCGAAGAACCUUACCUACACUUGACAUGCUGAGAAGUUACUAGAGAUAGUUUCGUGCCUUCGGGAACUCAGACACAGGUGCUGCAUGGCUGUCGUCAGCUCGUGUCAUGAGAUGUUCGGUUAAGUCCGGCAACGAGCGCAACCCACAUCCUUAGUUGCCAGCAGUUCGGCUGGGCACUCUAGGGAAACUGCCCGUGAUAAGCGGGAGGAAGGUGUGGAUGACGUCAAGUCCUCAUGGCCCUUACGGGUUGGGCUACACACGUGCUACAAUGGCAGUGACAAUGGGUUAAUCCCAAAAAACUGUCUCAGUUCGGAUUGUCGUCUGCAACUCGGCGGCAUGAAGUCGGAAUCGCUAGUAAUCGCGUAACAGCAUGACGCGGUGAAUACGUUCCCGGGCCUUGUACACACCGCCCGUCACACCAUGGGAGUUGGGUUUACCCGAAGGCCGUGCGCCAACCUUUUGGAGGCAGCGGACCACGGUGAGCUCAGCGACUGGGGUGAAGUCGUAACAAGGUAACCA